GACGAACGCUGGCGGCGUGCUUAACACAUGCAAGUCGAACGGAAAGGCCCUGCUUUUGUGGGGUGCUCGAGUGGCGAACGGGUGAGUAACACGUGAGUAGCCUGCCCUUGACUUUGGGAUAACUUCAGGAAACUGGGGCUAAUACCGGAUAGGAGCUCCUGCUGCAUGGGGGGGGUUGGAAAGUUUCGGCGGUUGGGGAUGGACUCGCGGCUUAUCAGCUUGUUGGUGGGGUAGUGGCUUACCAAGGCUUUGACGGGUAGCCGGCCUGAGAGGGUGACCGGCCACAUUGGGACUGAGAUACGGCCCAGACUCCUACGGGAGGCAGCAGUGGGGAAUAUUGCACAAUGGGCGGAAGCCUGAUGCAGCAACGCCGCGUGCGGGAUGACGGCCUUCGGGUUGUAAACCGCUUUCGCCUGUGACGAAGCGUGAGUGACGGUAAUGGGUAAAGAAGCACCGGCUAACUACGUG
This 468-nucleotide ribosomal RNA is filed under the name uncultured bacterium. RNAcentral describes it as "partial 16S ribosomal RNA". It matches the Rfam family "Bacterial small subunit ribosomal RNA", at positions 28 to 507 of the family's 1533-position model. The record is from RNAcentral.